RNAcentral lists this ribosomal RNA (321 nucleotides) under Triticum aestivum (bread wheat). RNAcentral describes it as "partial small subunit ribosomal RNA". Lineage: Eukaryota; Viridiplantae; Streptophyta; Magnoliopsida; Poales; Poaceae. The record is from RNAcentral.
AUGGGGGAAGGUGAUGAAGAUGUUGGUGAAGAUGACAGAGGUGUUGGUGUAGAUUGCGGUGACGAUGAUGGACCCGGCAACGUUCUGGCGCCACCGGAAGAGAGGGGGAGAGGGCCCUUCUUCUUCUUCCUUGACCUUCUCCCUAGAUGGGAGAAGGGGUUCCCCUUUGGUCCAUGGCCUCCAUGGCGGCGGACGGGCGAGAGCCCCUCCGAGAUUGGGUCUAUCUCUCUGUCUCUCUCUGUUUCCGCAUUCCAGAUUCUGGCCUUUCACCGUUUCUUAUAUUCCCGGAGAUUCGUAACUCCGAUUGGGCUGAAAUUUUAA